RNAcentral lists this ribozyme (116 nucleotides) under Aedes aegypti (yellow fever mosquito). RNAcentral's name for it is "drz-agam-1 ribozyme". It matches the Rfam family "drz-agam-1 ribozyme". The record is from Rfam by way of RNAcentral. Lineage: Eukaryota; Metazoa; Arthropoda; Insecta; Diptera; Culicidae.
UGCCCAGCAACUCUUAUCCCUACCUCCUCGCGGUACUGGCCGGGGUACGAAAAACCUUAGGGAAGAUCGGGUGGCCAACCCCGAUGGGAACUCUGGUCGUAUGCUUACAAGGAAGG